Molecule: RNA transcript, 2744 nt
Organism: Corythoichthys intestinalis (scribbled pipefish)
Lineage: Eukaryota; Metazoa; Chordata; Actinopteri; Syngnathiformes; Syngnathidae
Gene name: deubiquitinase DESI2
Exons: 6
Source: RefSeq, a predicted model, not a curated record
GCCAUGGCCAGUGAACCGGUCAUCCUCAACGUGUAUGAUAUGUACUGGAUAAAUGAGUACACCUCCAAUCUGGGAAUUGGAGUCUUUCACUCAGGCAUCGAGAUUUAUGGCCGAGAGUUUGCAUACGGGGGCCACCCGUAUCCUUUCAGCGGAAUCUUUGAAAUCAAUCCGGGAAAUGCAGCCGAGUUGGGAGAGACCUUCAAAUUCAAAGAGGCCAUCGUGUUGGGCACCACUGACUUCGCAGAGGAGGACAUGGACAAGAUCAUGGAAGAGCUCGGCAAGGAGUUCAAAGGCAACGCUUACCACCUCAUGCACAAGAACUGCAACCACUUCUCCUCCUCUCUCUCCGAGCUGCUGUGCGGCCGUGAGAUCCCGCGCUGGGUCAACCGUCUGGCCUACUUCAGCUCUUGCAUCCCCUUUCUGCAGAGCUGCCUGCCCAAAGAGUGGCUGACGCCGGCUGCCCUGCAGAGCCACAUAAGUCAGGGUCUCCAUAAGGACGAACGCCACCGCCGAUCCAGCGACGAUGACGACCGACCGUCGCCGCCCUCGUCAUCCGGGGCCGCUGGAUCUUCCUCUUCCUCCUCCUCGCACAGCUGCCGCCACACCAGAGUGUGAGAGACCAUGGGGAGCUGAGUAGGAAAGGGUGCGUUGGGGGCCAAGACUUGUCAGAGCCACUUUUUUUGUAAAAGACUGCUGAACAUGGUGCAACCAAAGUCAUCUUUGUGUGGCUUUUCCUGAAUACUCUUUCUUUGUAUGGUUAUCUGGUUGUUGAUGCUCCAAAAUUGACUGGGAAGCACCUGCCUUCUACUUUCAAUCAUUGAAAAGUCAACCUCUCAAGCCUUAGCAGCAUGAAAUUUGAAAGACCUGGAAAAAAAUGUGCACGGAGUUGAAUGCCGCCAUUUCAAUAGGAAGCAGCCAUUUUGACUCUGGAGCAGCCUUUUUCAUUUCAUUAGAAAAUUCAGCCCUAAAAAACAGUUUCACCGAAAAACAACGUAAGUAUAUAUUGUGGGAUUAACUAUACAUUAAACAGGAGUAAUCCAUCGAUCAAAUGAAAUCUUUCAAAGCGCAAAACAUCAACAAGUGGUUGUAACUGAUUGUGGUAAAUGUGUACAUAAUAUUGUAUUCUACAGAUCGAAGGCCCUUAAAGUGUAAUCAAAUCUUGACUGAGUUUAUAAUAAUAUCGGCAAAUAUUGUACCGUCUAAAGCAAGGUCCGGAUUUAGUGAACCCUGGUCUAAAGAAUAAAUAUCGUAUCAUGAAAUUGGGGAUUGACAACCCGAGUAAAGCCUUUUAUGGGUAGACCAAUUUUUUUAAAGUCUCAAUAAGCCAUGCCUGGGAAGACGAAGAAUUUUAUUUUGAAGAGCCCUUGAUAUUAUGGGGUUAAUCCCAUACAUCUAGUUUCCCUAAACAACAUGAAUUUUGGUCAACAUCUUUCUCAUGUGUAGACCCACUUACGGUACAGGUUGAAGACGCCAUGUCUAAAAACACAGCCAGUAUUCCAAAGUGAUUGGUAAACUCAAUUUUAGGGUUAUUUUUAAUCAUAUCACCACACCCUUCACGGAUUAACUGGUCUUUAAAAUUUUUGUACAAUUUGAUGGCACUAAAUUUCAAAUUGUGUAGGCGAAGCAUGGUGAUGGUGGUGAAAUUUUAUGACAAACAAUACGAGCCGUUUUCACUUCAAUUAAAGUUAACAUUACAGCUGUCUUAGCUUAUACUUAACGUUUGACUUCAAAGGCCUAAGUUACAUUAUAAAUGAUGGUAUAAUCUCUUAUAGGUAUUGUUCAAUGUCGUACACAUGCUUGGUUUCGUUGGAAUCUGCUUGCAUUAGCUGUUAGCUUAACAUUGAUGUAGCUACACAAUUCUCUUUCAAAGUAGAAGCUGCAACAAUGAUGGUAAACUCCUUUAAUGUCCUUAGACCAAACAUGCACUUGUUUUCACUUUUAUAACAUAGUUAGCUCAGCAUACACUUAGCAGGGUGUUUCACCAUGUCUUUUCAUGCUAAGCUAACUAGCUACUGCUUCUUUCUCUGCUACUUGUGGAAAGACUCGAUUGUUGUGGGGUAAACAUGUUUACAGGUUGCAAAGCAUUUAAAUGCAAAAAAAGGGAACAAUGUUUUAAUUUUGUAUAUGGUACAUUGAUUUUCCCCUAAGGGCCCUAUCCCUACUGCGGUGGUGGUGCAUUUGAGGACAGCUACUCUUUCUCAGGAAGGAACUCAUUUUUUGGUGUGAAUGGUUCUGACAUUUCACCAAGUGUAUUUAUUGUGUUACAGCUGAUGAUUAAACACACACAAGUUGUACAGAUGUUCAUAAAAUACAGUAGGUUACUUUCUUACAGAGUACACUAGACAGUUUUAUCCUCCUAGCAUCAUCCGAGACCUUGUAAUUGUCUUUUUUUAACCCAAGAUGUCUUAGUACUAGAAUAAAAAGACAUGUACUGGUGGUGUUUCUGAUAUAUUAGAUUGUCAAUUCAAAUGUGGAAAAGCUCACUUUCAACAUUUGGCAAAACAAAAUGAAGGCAUUCCUUCCAAUUUAGGUCAUUUGCUUGCAGUGUCUUACAAAGUUAAUAGCUAUGUCAUUCUACUGCUCUUCUAUAAAACUAAUGCAUAAUAAUAUUUGAUAAUAUUGUAAAAUAAUACAGGUGAUCAACGAUCAUCAAAAGAUAAGAGAUGGAAUUGCUGUAUUUUGUUUUGUUAAACUCUGCAAGUUUUGACUAAUCACAUUAAAAAGGGAAAUUUGUCACCAUAAAA